This 64-nucleotide non-coding RNA is filed under the name Serratia fonticola. Its description in RNAcentral is "Fluoride sequence". It matches the Rfam family "Fluoride riboswitch aptamer (crcB RNA motif)". Lineage: Bacteria; Pseudomonadati; Pseudomonadota; Gammaproteobacteria; Enterobacterales; Yersiniaceae. The record is from Rfam by way of RNAcentral.
CCAACAAACGGAGAUGACAUUCCUCCAUAACCGCCUUUCACAGGCUGAUGAUGUCUACGUAACC